AAAGUAGACCGCCUUAUCGCUAAUUUUUUAGAGGAAAGUCCGGACACCAUAGAGCGGCAUAGCGGCUAACGGCCGCCGAUUGUGAAAUCAGGACAAGUGCAGCAGAAAGAAUGUACAGGUAAUGCUGUAGUGAAAUCAGGUAAACUCUAUGCGGUGCAAUGUCAUGUAAACCAACGUUCGAGAUUGCUCAGUCGAUGUUGGAGGGUAGGCAGCUUAGAAAUUUUUGGCAACAAAAAUUCUAGAUAAAUGAUAAGGAUUUUCUAAAUUUUAGGAAAAACAGAAUCCGGCUUACAGGUCUACUUUUUUA
RNAcentral lists this RNase P RNA (307 nucleotides) under Mesonia maritima. RNAcentral's name for it is "RNase P RNA component class A". It matches the Rfam family "Bacterial RNase P class A". From Rfam's summary of the family: Ribonuclease P (RNase P) is a ubiquitous endoribonuclease, found in archaea, bacteria and eukarya as well as chloroplasts and mitochondria. Its best characterised activity is the generation of mature 5'-ends of tRNAs by cleaving the 5'-leader elements of precursor-tRNAs. Cellular RNase Ps are ribonucleoproteins. The record is from RNAcentral. Lineage: Bacteria; Pseudomonadati; Bacteroidota; Flavobacteriia; Flavobacteriales; Flavobacteriaceae.